This 3394-nucleotide unclassified non-coding RNA is filed under the name Leishmania donovani. RNAcentral describes it as "gene:unknown". Lineage: Eukaryota; Euglenozoa; Kinetoplastea; Trypanosomatida; Trypanosomatidae. The record is from RNAcentral.
UAUCAUCUGCGAGAAAAGCGAAACGUUGUAUGCACACGCUGGGCAUCUCUCCACCUUCUGCUCUCGUAGCUCUCGCAGCUCUCCCAAUACUCGCAGCCGCACAUACACCUCAUUUAAGAGGCGAACGUCUUCUGCGCAUUCGCGUAUCGUGCGCAUGCGCGUGCUGCUGGCGCACUGGCUGCUUUAAAUCUUCAGCAGCGCACCCUCUUUUCCUCUCUCUCCCUACACUCAUUCGCUCACGCACCCGCCUUCGCAGCUUGUUCGCUCCGCGUCGCUCUGGAGCUCUCCAUUGCUUUCUGUUCAAGCUCUGUGCGAGCACGUCGCGCAGCGAGGCAACCGUGAGCAGUCCAAAGACGAGAGAGAGGGUUUGCUGUUCCCAAGGUCGGCGUCCGUUCUAGGCUGAUUGGUGAUCUUGCACCUUAUUCGACCAGCCCCCUAUUCUUCUCCCCGUGAUGCUGUGUGCUGGCCAGACGCUAUACACCGGCACGGACGCGAAUGUACACACACACACGCACAUAAAGCCAUCUUUUCAGUCUCCUUUUAUCUCUUUUUCCUAUUGUCACUGCCAUCCCUCCCCUCGUCUUCUCCCCACGUGGGGGCCUGUUCCUCACCAGCCUGUCGUUCCUUUCGCGAGUGCUCCUCCUCUCCUCCGUCUAAUUCGCUUCGUGUUCGUCGUCGUGCGCGUGCGCAUGCCCGUGUGCCACGCGCCCGUCGAAUGCGCUCCGCCCCACUCUCCCCCUUUUUUUGUUUGCCUUGCUUGCGCCCUUUUCUUUGCCGUAUAUGGAUUGCUCGUUGCGUUUGUGAGCGCAUUCGAAUAGCAGCCAUCCAAUAACCCACACGCGGAAUCUCCAUCCCUUAACGCACGCUCGACGGCCGACAUCACGCCCCUCGCCUUUCCCUCGCUUCUCCAUCAACCGCACCGCGGUCUAACGAAACUGCACAGCACCGCGUCCUUUUUCCGCUCCCCCCCCUUUGCGCUGGUCUGUGUUCACAAUCUCAGGCAUCUGCGAGGCCGACACGCAUACGUGAAUACACACGGCAAGGGGUCAGCGACGCGAACCGCACGCAAAAUACACGUGCUUCUCGUUGCUGGCGCAGUUGUUCGCUUUUCCUCUCGCAAUCUCCUCCUUAUCUCUAUGUUUCCAUGUCGUGAAUGCAGGUUGACUGAGCCGCCUUGGGGGUGGGGGUGGGGUGCAUGCAUGAGAGAGCUGGUAUGCGUAGAUACGGCGUUAUGGACGCCUCGCCCGCCGCAGCCGCAGGGACCUGCGCCCGUGCCUGUCCGCUUCAAGCCUGUCACCAUGAGCAGGCCGCGCUUCUCGCGCCUGUGUACGGAAGGCCUGGCUGUAGCGCUGCGACUACCCGCAGAGACAGCCUUAGAGGCGGCACUUGCUGAUGUUGAGGAGGCGCUGCAGGAAGUUGCCACUGCCCCUACCUCCUCGUCGCGGAGAAAGAUGCAAGGUGAGAGGCCGAAUGCUCGGCCGGCCCUAUGCUUCGCCGCCUCGAAUGGGCAAGCGCAUUCAGCAGAUGUCCUUCCGCUCACCCACUCGACUGUUGUCUUGGGGUCACCCACAGUGCAAGCCAGCACCUUGGCUGGGCUGCAGCACCGUGACUUGGCGAAACGGUGCACGGUGGAGGCGACUGAGAGCGCGUCUGCUGGACCCCUCUCUUCGCCUGAGUAUGCUGUAGCUGCCCCGGCCGAGACCGUCGCGCAGGGGCUGGAAGCCCAGCCACCGCCCUGCAGCGCAAACCUGCAACCUCCAGCCCCCCGACCUGCACGUUGGAUUUCAAUGGCAAUGUGCGUGGCGACGCCGACCUUCAUUUUUGAUACACAACCGAAUUGCGUUUUGGCGCCCUGGGCAUGUCGGAUCUGCGCAGCGCGGUGAGCGUUGCCCGGCUGCCCGGCGGGAAAGUUCAAACGCGAUUACGAACGCAGUAAAUGUAGAAAAAAAAGCACGAGGUGGCUCGGGGUGAGCACGCGAGGGAGGAGCCGGCCGUCAAGCCGCCAGGCACCCUUGCCGCGCGAAAUCAAGAGCGGAAAAGACGCGUGGGAUAAGUCGUACGCCUCGCCCGAGAAGACGCCGUCACCAACGCCGCCGGCGGUGACACCACCGCCGAUGCCCUCUAAACAGCCGAGUGAACUGUCGCACGUGCCGCUGCUGCUGCGCGACGCCGCGGAGGUGAACGCGACGUGCCCAGCACGUCAGCCCUUACGUUGACGUUUGCGUCGGUCUCUGUUUCUCUCCGGGCCCCAACGCUGCCUCCGCCAGUCGUGGUACCGCACGGUACCAUGAGGCUCCUCAGUGCACCAGUGAGGAUUCUUUGAGCACUCCGCCCGUGCCCACCACUUCCAGCAGCGUCAGCAGCUCCCAUAUGAGCAAGGAGGAUUUCUUGCUCUCAUCAAGCCCACUGGAGAGGCGGCAGCGAUCUCCUCGACACUCGAGUGCGUGUCUUUGCCAAGGCCCGCGUUGUGGCGCAACUGCAACGGACUGGACUCGCCGGCUGAAGGGAUAGGAAGCCAAGAAAAAAAAAAAGAUGGCCAGACUAGUUAAAGCGAAGGAGAAGCGGCCUCGCCACACCUACCGUUCGCUCUAUAUCCCAGAGCCUCGCUUAAACUUCGAACACACGCCGCAGAAAAAGUGCGCACGGCGUUGAUGCAGCGAUGGCGCACAAAGGGCACAGGAAACACAGACAACACGUCUCUCUCUCUCGUUCUCUCAUGGCGUCGCCUCGCUUGCUAUGGGGAAUCUCCCCUGCCUCCUUAUCCUCCCCUUCUUCGCUUUUUCUUUUUUUUUUCGCCGUCUUUUUAAGCGCCUCUGGAGCUCAUCAACUCAGCUGCUUUCUGAGGCGGCUGCUUCCUUGACUGCACGCGCCGCUGUGUGUCUGCACCAUCUGGUUCUGUUGUCAGACCCCGCCCUCUAUCUGUCCCCGUAAAAGCUUCUCUUUCUUUUCUAUCGUCUGCUGUCUCUCAGUCUUUGUAUACACUAAUCCGCACACGCGGCGGUGCCCUCGCAUCUAUCGCCUUCUCCUGUCUUCUGUAGCCUCUUUUUAUGCAUGUCUUUGCCCUGUGCUCUUGCUCUUGCGUGCAUUGCGUGUGCGUCAUCAUCUCUUCCUAGCCUUUGCUUGCUGUUGCUGCUGCUCUCUUCAUCAUCUCCCCCUUUUUUCAUCGUUUCAGCGCCUGCCCGUGCCUGUGUGCAGUGGCUCGAUCUCUGUCGCUGCGCAUGUGUUGGUAGGAGGGCGAAAGAGGUCACGCGUGUCUCCGUUUGAACAGCAGCAGCGACAAGAGGUGGGGGGGGGGUGGCGCAGCGAAUCGGACUGUACACACACACGCGCGGACUCCAGCGUGUCAGCACGCAUGCAUGCUCCUUCUCUUUCGUGAAGAAUGACCCGCGUGGAU